AAUUCGAUGAUACGCGAGGAACCUUACCCGGGCUUGAAAUGCAUCUGACCGGCCUUGAAAGAGGUUUUCCCUUCGGGGCAGAUGUGUAGGUGCUGCAUGGUUGUCGUCAGCUCGUGCCGUGAGGUGUCGGCUUAAGUGCCAUAACGAGCGCAACCCUCAUCAUUAGUUACCAUCAGGUAAGGCUGGGGACUCUAAUGAGACUGCCAUCGUAAGAUGUGAGGAAGGUGGGGAUGACGUCAAAUCAGCACGGCCCUUACGUCCGGGGCGACACACGUGUUACAAGGGGUGGUACAAAGGGCAGCUACCUGGCGACAGGAUGCUAAUCUCCAAAACCACUCUCAGUCCGGAUCGGAGUCUGCAACUCGACUCCGUGAAGCUGGAUUCGCUAGUAAUCGCGCAUCAGCCACGGCGCGGUGAAUACGUUCCCGGGCCUU
This 434-nucleotide ribosomal RNA is filed under the name uncultured Proteiniphilum sp. RNAcentral's name for it is "bacterial SSU rRNA". It matches the Rfam family "Bacterial small subunit ribosomal RNA", at positions 948 to 1382 of the family's 1533-position model. Lineage: Bacteria; Pseudomonadati; Bacteroidota; Bacteroidia; Bacteroidales; Dysgonomonadaceae. The record is from RNAcentral.